UCCGACUUGACGUCGGCAGUCUCGUUAGAGUGCCCAACUGAAUGUGGCAACUAAUGGCAAGGGUUGCGCUCGUUGCGGGACUUAACCCAACAUCUCACGACACGAGCUGACGACAGCCAUGCAGCACCUGUGUUACGGCUCCCUUUCGGGCACACCCCCAUCUCUGAGGGCUUCCGUACAUGUCAAGGGUAGGUAAGGUUAUUCGCGUUGCAUCGAAUUAAUCCACAUCAUCCACCGCUUGUGCGGGUCCCCGUCAAUUCCUUUGAGUUUUAAUCUUGCGACCGUACUCCCCAGGCGGGAUGCUUAAUGCGUUAGCUGCGCCACUGACCGGUAAACCGGCCAACGGCUAGCAUCCAUCGUUUACGGCGUGGACUAC
RNAcentral lists this unclassified non-coding RNA (376 nucleotides) under uncultured Pseudomonadota bacterium. RNAcentral describes it as "uncultured proteobacterium contains 16S-23S intergenic spacer region". The record is from RNAcentral. Lineage: Bacteria; Pseudomonadati; Pseudomonadota.